Molecule: non-coding RNA, 51 nt
Filed under: Lucilia cuprina (Australian sheep blowfly)
Lineage: Eukaryota; Metazoa; Arthropoda; Insecta; Diptera; Calliphoridae
Description: Guanidine-II sequence
Rfam family: Guanidine-II riboswitch aptamer (mini-ykkC)
About the family: Simpler in structure and has fewer highly conserved nucleotide positions than the ykkC-yxkD leader. Despite this each of its two stem-loop structures directly bind free guanidine.
Source: Rfam by way of RNAcentral
UUUUCAGGACGACCUGAAUAUUGAUGCUUUUAAUUAAUGGGGACGACCCCG